This 544-nucleotide ribosomal RNA is filed under the name Bifidobacterium breve. RNAcentral describes it as "bacterial SSU rRNA". It matches the Rfam family "Bacterial small subunit ribosomal RNA", at positions 158 to 710 of the family's 1533-position model. The record is from RNAcentral. Lineage: Bacteria; Bacillati; Actinomycetota; Actinomycetes; Bifidobacteriales; Bifidobacteriaceae.
GGGUGGUAAUGCCGGAUGCUCCAUCACACUGCAUGGUGUGUUGGGAAAGCCUUUGCGGCAUGGGAUGGGGUCGCGUCCUAUCAGCUUGAUGGCGGGGUAACGGCCCACCAUGGCUUCGACGGGUAGCCGGCCUGAGAGGGCGACCGGCCACAUUGGGACUGAGAUACGGCCCAGACUCCUACGGGAGGCAGCAGUGGGGAAUAUUGCACAAUGGGCGCAAGCCUGAUGCAGCGACGCCGCGUGAGGGAUGGAGGCCUUCGGGUUGUAAACCUCUUUUGUUAGGGAGCAAGGCAUUUUGUGUUGAGUGUACCUUUCGAAUAAGCACCGGCUAACUACGUGCCAGCAGCCGCGGUAAUACGUAGGGUGCAAGCGUUAUCCGGAAUUAUUGGGCGUAAAGGGCUCGUAGGCGGUUCGUCGCGUCCGGUGUGAAAGUCCAUCGCUUAACGGUGGAUCCGCGCCGGGUACGGGCGGGCUUGAGUGCGGUAGGGGAGACUGGAAUUCCCGGUGUAACGGUGGAAUGUGUAGAUAUCGGGAAAGAAACACC